Molecule: RNA transcript, 2343 nt
Organism: Oryza brachyantha (malo sina)
Lineage: Eukaryota; Viridiplantae; Streptophyta; Magnoliopsida; Poales; Poaceae
Gene name: L-type lectin-domain containing receptor kinase SIT2-like
Exons: 2
Source: RefSeq, a predicted model, not a curated record
AUGGAGCGUCAUCCCUUUCUCCUGCUUCUUGUUGUCUCGCUUGGCUUAACUCUUGUGGCCUUGUGUGCCGGUCAAAACCAAUUCAUCUACCAUGGCUUCACCGGCGAAAACCUCACUAUCGAUGGCACUGCCAAAAUCACACCGGAGGGACUCCUGGAGCUGACAAGCGACAAGAACGAUCUCAGCGGGCAUGCGUUCUUCCCAACGCCUAUGCACCUUCGCAGGCCACCCAACAGCACGGUGCAAUCCUUCUCGGUGAACUUCGUGUUCGGCAUCCAGUCCUUCUACUCCGACAGGAGCUAUGAUGGCAUGGCGUUCCUGCUAGCACCGACCAACGAUCUCUCGGCCGCAUGGCCAGAUGGCUACCUGGGUCUCUUCAACAUCAGCAACCGGGGAAAUUUCAGUAACCACAUCUUCGCAGUCGAACUCGAUACCUUUCAGAACAGCGAGUUUGGGGAUAUCAGCAACAGCCAUGUUGGAGUUGAUGUCAACGACGUCCGCUCCGUGCAGUCCUCCUUUGCUGGCUUCUAUGAUGAGAAGGGGGUGUUCAGAAACCUGACUCUUUAUAGCGGUCGGGCCAUGCAAGUUUGGCUGGAAUACGUCGAAGAGGCGACACAGAUCACCGUGACCAUGGCUCCCAUUGAUACACCAAAACCGAAGAGGCCACUGCUCUCUGCUACCUAUGAUCUCUCAACUGUGCUCACAGACCCAGUGUAUAUUGGUUUUUCUGCUGCAACUGGCCCAGUUAGUACACGACAUAUCGUGCUUGGCUGGAGCUUCGACAUGGGUGUUCCAGCUCCAGCCCUUGAUAUCACCAAACUGCCCAAGCUACCUCGUGUUGGCACCAAGCCUCGUUCCAAUGUCUUGGAGAUCGUCCUCCCAAUUGCCAGUGCCAUGUUCAUCAUCAUUCUUGGCACCAUUGCCAUUUUGUUUGUGCGGAGGAAACUACGGUAUGCUGAGCUGCGAGAAGAUUGGGAGGUCGAGUUUGGGCCUCAACGGUUCUCAUACAAGGACCUAUUUCAUGCCACUCUAGGAUUUAAGAACAAGAACUUGAUUGGAGUAGGUGGAUUUGGGAAGGUCUAUAAAGGAAUCCUUGCGACAUCUAAAUUGGAUAUUGCUGUCAAGAAAAUCUCCCAUGAGUCAAGGCAAGGAAUGAAGGAGUUUAUAACAGAGGUUGUUAGCAUUGGCCGCCUUCGUCACCGCAAUCUUGUGCCACUGCUUGGCUACUGUCGGCGGAAAAAUGAACUACUUCUGGUCUAUAAUUACAUGUCAAAUGGGAGUCUUGAUAAGUAUCUACAUGAUGUCGAUGGUAGGUCUACACUUGAUUGGACUCGAAGGUUUCAGAUAAUUAAAGAUGUCGCACGUGGAUUAUUAUACUUGCAUGAGAAAUGGGAGAAAGUUGUUAUACAUCGAGACAUAAAAGCAAGCAAUGUGCUCCUUGAUGAUGAAAUGAAUGGGAGAUUGGGUGACUUUGGGCUUGCACGACUAUAUGAUCAUGGUACUAACCCACAGACUACACAUGUCGUUGGCACCAUGGGCUACCUAGCACCUGAAAUGGUACGGACCGGUAAAGCGUCUCCUCUCACAGAUGUGUUUGCUUUUGGUGCAUUCCUUCUCGAGGUGACUUGUGGACAAAGGCCAGUGAAGCAAGACACACAAGGCAAACAACUUAUGCUGGUUGAUUGGGUUCUUGAACAUUGGCACCAUGGAUUGCUCACGGAAGCGGUGGAUAUGAGACUCCAAGGUGACUAUAACAUCGACGAGGCAUACCUAGUCCUAAAAUUAGCUCUUGUGUGCUUGCAUCCAUUUCCUACUUCAAGGCCCAGCAUGCGAGAGGUAGUGCAAUAUCUCGACAAUGACUUGCCACCACCAGAGUUGGCACCAACACGUCUGGGUUUCAGUAAGCUUCCUUUGAUGCAAAACAAAGGAUUCAACCCAUCAGUCAUGUCAUACCCCGAGUUGAUCACGAGCUUUGGCACAUUCUCUGGUCUCUCAGGAGGACGAUGAGGCUGCUUGUGUUCGAGAAUAUUGUAACUUGAAUGGAUGGAGUACUGAACACGAGUAAUUACCUGCAAGGAGUCUGUAAUGCAUCUAGAACAAUUGAUGGAAUAUGGGGAGAGCGACGUUCAAAUAAAUGUCCCCGCCGAGCGAUGGAGACAAACAAUAUUUAGUAAGUAGAUUUACAGCGACUACUCAUAUAUAUAGAUAUAUGUAUAAUAUAAGUAGUAGAUAUUUGAUGAACUAUUAAUGGAUCUUUUAUAGCCUCUGUGAUUGUUAGUUCUAAUAUAAAACAAUUACUAUGUAAUAGAUACUUAGUAGUUUUAAGGAAUUCAAUUACACGUU